Molecule: unclassified non-coding RNA, 213 nt
Filed under: Hevea brasiliensis (rubber tree)
Lineage: Eukaryota; Viridiplantae; Streptophyta; Magnoliopsida; Malpighiales; Euphorbiaceae
Source: RNAcentral
GAUGAAACUAGCCAGGUAAGUUACGACUACCUCUUUAAUAUUUGGAGUUGGUUUGCACAUCUAACCAGAUGGGUAGGCUUUACGCUUGUGCUUUCAGAUACAGUUGUUUAUUCAAUGUUACCUAUUUAGAGAGGUAUUUACUGUAUGAAUUUCCAAUUUAUAUUCUGUUUAUCAAAGAUGUGUGCCUCUGAGUCAGUGUCUUCUGAAUUUCAA